GGAAGCGAGGAGGAUUGGUGUCCUGCAAACCCGGAGCACAAAGUGACGAAGAGCACAGGGGGUCAGGGUGUUGCUGAAAGUUGUUGCGGUGGCGGGGCUUGGUCCUGUGUCUUGGGCUUUUCUUUUGAGAACUCAAGUCGGCGCACUGGGCGAAAGAGGCUGCCACUGCCCGGAAACCGAGCUAGGAGAAGCUACGGUGUCAUAAGCCGCAGGAGAAUUCGAACUGUGAGUCUGAAAGGCAGUACUUUGGUGAACCAGAUCUCUUUACUUCCCCUCUCCCCAUGGCCAUCCUGGAGAGCAUCUAGGCAGUGGGUGAGGAGAAGUCAGCCCUGGGAAGCUUUGCCCUUACUCCUCUUCUCUUCAUUGGCCGUGCUCUCCUCCCAUUGUUUCUCUACCUACAGUCAGAUAUCUACAUCAGUAGAACCUGAGGCUUUUCUUCGUGUCAAUGAAGUUAAGAUUUCUUAAGGAUAAUCAUGAAGAAGCAUUUAUUAAAUGCAUGCUGGCCCUGCACAUGGUGAGAGGGCCUCUGAGUUAUAGACAGUGAUUCAAAUCCCAGUUCUAACUUACUGGGUACAUGAUCCUGGUCAAGUCACUUGUCUUUUCAGUACCUCAGUAAUAUUCUAACACUCUAACUUGUAGAACAACUGCCAUUCUGCAUUGGCAGAAUUUUCUCAUCACUGCAAUGAGGGUUUUCUAUAUCAAUGAAAUCAAAGGUCUACUUUAAAAAGAAACAUACAAAAUUAAAAUGUUGUUAAUUCCAUCACUAGUUUUGUGAAAAAUCACAGUUGUCAUCUUUUUUGCCUGUACUCCUGAGGUUCACUUUAAGCAAUCUGUUUGUGUAAAUAUAAGCCUGUAAGAAAUUUGUUUAAGGUUAAGAAAACACACAAAAACAGAGUCACUCAUUUGUAGGUGUCUUUCAGCACAAGGCACUAGGCAAAGGGCCCAAAAGGGUUAACCUGGGAGGUCCAGAUGAAGAGAAAACUAUUAAAAGGAAAGGCCAGCCUGAACCUGAGCCUGGACCAGCACCUGGACUACCUAAUGAGGCCCCCUUUUCCUUUAAACACAUAAUUAUCAUAUCACUCUUUAGCUACUACUGCUUUCACUUAAUUUUGGAGUGAAUAUGCAAUCUCUCUCCAGGGAAAAUUUUCAGUUUCAUACUGCUGAUUGUUCUGUCAAAUGGUAAGCUUAGGCCAUAUUUUUCUCUCUGAUUUUUUAAAAAAGGAGGGGGAAUGAGAUACAGAGAUAUUAAUUGUAUUCCUUUUUUUUUUAUAGCUUUCCUAAUUCUGAAU
Molecule: long non-coding RNA, 1289 nt
Filed under: Phascolarctos cinereus (koala)
Lineage: Eukaryota; Metazoa; Chordata; Mammalia; Diprotodontia; Phascolarctidae
Description: lncRNA (ENSPCIG00000032114.1)
Source: RNAcentral